Molecule: ribosomal RNA, 584 nt
Filed under: uncultured Moraxellaceae bacterium
Lineage: Bacteria; Pseudomonadati; Pseudomonadota; Gammaproteobacteria; Moraxellales; Moraxellaceae
Description: bacterial SSU rRNA
Rfam family: Bacterial small subunit ribosomal RNA
Source: RNAcentral
CUACGGGAGGCAGCAGUGGGGAAUAUUGGACAAUGGGGGAAACCCUGAUCCAGCCAUGCCGCGUGUGUGAAGAAGGCCUUUUGGUUGUAAAGCACUUUAAGCAGUGAAGAAGACUCUUCGGUUAAUACCCGGAGACGAUGACAUUAGCUGCAGAAUAAGCACCGGCUAACUCUGUGCCAGCAGCCGCGGUAAUACAGAGGGUGCAAGCGUUAAUCGGAAUUCCUGGGCGUAAAGCGAGCGUAGGUGGCUUGAUAAGUCAGAUGUGAAAUCCCCGGGCUUAACCUGGGAACUGCAUCUGAAACUGUUAGGCUAGAGUAGGUGAGAGGGAAGUAGAAUUUCAGGUGUAGCGGUGAAAUGCGUAGAGAUCUGAAGGAAUACCGAUGGCGAAGGCAGCUUCCUGGCAUCAUACUGACACUGAGGCUCGAAAGCGUGGGUAGCAACAGGAUUAGAUACCCUGGUAGUCCACGCCGUAAACGAUGUCUACUAGUCGUUGGGUCCCUUGAGGACUUAGUGACGCAGCUAACGCAAUAAGUAGACCGCCUGGGGAGUACGGCCGCAAGGUUAAAACUCAAAGGAAUUGACGG